CCAUGUUCAUUGCAGCAUUCCUCACAAUAGCCAAGGUAUAGAAACAGCCUAAGUGCUUACUGAUUGAUGAAUGGAUAAAAAUAUUUUGGUGUAUGUGUAAAACAGAAUAUUAUUCAGCAUUUUAAAAAAGGAGAUCCUGCCAUUUGCCCCACAAUGUAGAACCUGGAAGGAAUAAUCCAGUGAAAUAAGCCAGACACAUAAAUAAAAAUAUUUCAUGAUCUCACUGAUAUUUGGAAAAUAAGAAAAAUCAAAGAUACAGAAAUAAAGAAUAAAAUAUUGGUUACCGGGACCAGGCAAGGUGGGUGGGGUACAGCAUGAAUGGGAUGAUAAAGGUUAGAGGCUAUGAAGGAGCAGACAUGUAGGAUGAACUAGUCUAAAGAUCUAAUGUACAACAUUAAUGUACUAGUUAAUAAAACUGUACUGUUAAAAAAAGAAUCACGGACAGAAAAUUUUGAAAGCAAUAAGGUAAAGAAAAUUCCUCACAUACAAGGGAGUGUGGUGGCUUUCAGUGGAUUUUUCAACAAAAACUUUGCAAGCCAGGAGAGAGUUUGAUUAUGCGGUUGACACUUGAAGAAUAUAAAUUGAAGUACUUGGGUUCACUUACAUAUGGAUUUUCAUCUGCCUCUACCACCGCCAAGACCAAUCCCUGUUUUUCCUCCUUUUCCUCAGCCUACUCAACAUGAAGAUGACAAGGACAGCUCAGCCAAGCUUCUGAUUCCCUGGAACCUGGAGCACUUCAUCAGUUUGGCCGCAGAAGGCACAACUGCUCUGGGGGACCUAAGCUUAGGGUCCCUGGAAGGUGAAAGCAUUGACUCAGCUUUGGCACUGGAGAAGCAGGAUGCUCUGAAUUAGGUUAUUAUCGAUGCAUAUUUGACCUGCUCAUCGAGUCUGACAAGUGACCCGGGAACCAUUUCAUCCUGAUUAAGAACCAUUAUUGGGGAACUAGUACAGUUAUUUGGAGAAAGUCAUGUACAGAGGAGUUUAAGACGACAGAUGGGAAGCAGCUAGUAUACACUGCUCUCAUGGAGAUGAAACAAAGUGGUGAGUAAAUACUAGUUCCUCAAGUGGAUUGUCAAGGAGAUCCCAUGAAGAUUCACCAAGGAAGCAACAGGACCAACAGAGAACAAGAGGAGCGAAGCCAGGCAGCUGCCCACCCAGAACUGAUGGAGAGUGGGGGAAGCUCCCUCACGCAGGGAAAGGUGAGUGAGUGAGAGUCCUGAGGGGAUCUAUACUUCUGUGAUAGACCUUUGCAAUCCCGGACAUGAGAGAUAUUCCUGACCCCCAGGAGCCUCCAGAUUGAGAUGGAGAGCCACCUAGAGUCUUUGCAGAAGAACCAUUGAAGCCCACAUGGGGCCCUACAGGCCUUGAAUCCCUGAGUAGUCCAGUGCCAUCUGCUGUAGCCCCAACAGAGGCUGCAGCCAUGGUGCUAAGAAGCAGCCAGACUGCCCCACUGCUCCUCAGUAGGCAAGGCUUGCCAGCAUGGGUUUCCAGCACAGUGGCCCCACCCCAACCUGAACCUGGGUGGUCAUGGCUCUGAGUUUCUCCAGGAAGCACCCAGGCUGCAGACUAUGUGACCUCCUAUCCCCACUGCUCCUCAUCCGGCAGGGCUUGCUGACUUGGGCUCCUAAUGCCUAAUGCCCCAACUUUGCCUGAAUACUGUGGGUGGUCACAGCUCUGCAUUUCUCCAGAAAGCACCCAGACUAAAGACCGUGUGACCCCUACCCACACUGCUCCUUGCAAGGCAGGGCUUGCCAACCUGGGCUCCUAGUGCAGCAGCCCUGGAUCCACCUAAACACCUGUUGUCAGUCACAGCUCUGCAUUUCUCUGGGACAAAACUCCAAAAGGUAACAAACAAGGCUUGGCACCUUUGCAUUGUUCUGACAGUGAAGUCUAGCACUGCUUGGGUAAAAGUGAAGUGCAAGUGUGCCAUGUGCCCCACAGCUGCCAGUCUCCAUUGCUCCAGCUGAGGGAUCUUCCCCUCCUCAGUGAAAGGCCCACUGCAUAGCCACCCUUACCCUACUUGAACAUUUCAUCUGCAGUCCACAGCCAUUCUGAAAACCCAACUCCCACAGGUUUGUGAUAUUCCUUUUGGUUCCCCCCACCUAAGUGUUCUGCCUGCCCCUGGUUUCCACCAUCUAAGCAUUUUACCUGCUGCCACCUAAGAGUUUGGCCAGUGACCCAGGGACCAACCCGCCACUCUUCAUCAUAACCAGCACUUGAACUCUGGGUUAGCCUGAUUCUGGCACAGCCCUUUCAGGACUCAUACCCAUUGCUCUGCAAGCCAUCGAGGAGCCUGGAAAUUACCUACGUACCCUACCCCUACCCUGUUCCAACUCUACAGGCACUGGACCACUUCCCCAGGGCCCAAAGUCAGGCUGACCUAACCAGUCACCACCACCAGAACCAAAACUCACUCAUGUGGGCCCAAAGGUGGAGACCCCCCGCCCACCCACCAUUUACAAGCAGCAGCAGUACUGUCACACUGGCAAAGACGUGAGCCAUAAAACUGUCUGUAUCAGGUUCAGAGAUUAAAUUAUGCCCUGAAACCACUCCCACAGAGAGUCACAAAACAGGCAUUUACUGUGGCUCUCAACCUCACUGUAGUCCAGAGAUAGACUAGAAUAUGAAUCUAAACUAGGAGUCAUGAGCCCUGGAACAAUUGUGUAAUAGGAAAACAGAUCAAGUUCCUGCCUAUGUAGGAUAGGAAGCUGGUGCAACCAUCUCAACUCCCUGCAGAGUCUUUAGUGCACUUCAUAAGGAACUCCUCCCAUUAACCCUCAUCAGGGCAGGUGCCUGUGCUUGCCAUUUGGGCAUUUGUGGGAAAGCAAGGGGCUCCAGCUGUGUCUCUCCAACCCCACAGAACAGGAAACUUAUGGCACCAGGUACUCCAAUGUCCAGUCCUUCACUUGAAACAACAGAGAGCACCUCAAUAAACAAAGAUCAGGUACCUACCUACCUGCUUAUGUUGCAACUGGCUCUCACCUGAGAGCACCACUGACCAACUUCUAGGUCAAACUGCACAGCUCAAUAUAAAACCAGCCCACGGAAGUGCAUAAGGCAAUAGAAGCAAAGCCAAAACACCAUAAGUCAACAGAGGCAAUGCCAAAAGACCCACCCACUCCUCUCCAGACAAGCAGGAACUAGCAUAAGAAUUCUGACACUAUAGGCCGGGUGUGGUGGCUCACGCCUGUAAUCCCAGCACUUUGGGAGGCUGAG
This 3216-nucleotide long non-coding RNA is filed under the name Homo sapiens (human). RNAcentral describes it as "HSALNT0381246". The record is from RNAcentral. Lineage: Eukaryota; Metazoa; Chordata; Mammalia; Primates; Hominidae.